GAUGAACGCUAGCGGCAGGCUUAACACAUGCAAGUCGAGGGGUAACAGGGAUUAGCUUGCUAAUUUGCUGACGACCGGCGCACGGGUGCGUAACGCGUAUAGAACCUACCUUUUACAGAGGGAUAGCCCAGAGAAAUUUGGAUUAAUACCUCAUAGUAUUAUAAAGUGGCAUCAUUUAAUAAUUAAAACUUCGGUGGUAAAAGAUGGCUAUGCGUUCUAUUAGCUAGAUGGUAAGGUAACGGCUUACCAUGGCAACGAUAGAUAGGGGUCCUGAGAGGGAGAUCCCCCACACUGGUACUGAGACACGGACCAGACUCCUACGGGAGGCAGCAGUGAGGAAUAUUGGACAAUGGAGGUAACUCUGAUCCAGCCAUGCCGCGUGCAGGAAGACGGCCCUAUGGGUUGUAAACUGCUUUUAUAUAGGAAGAAACCGUUCCACGUGUGGAACUCUGACGGUACUAUAUGAAUAAGCACCGGCUAACUCCGUGCCAGCAGCCGCGGUAAUACGGAGGGUGCAAGCGUUAUCCGGAAUCAUUGGGUUUAAAGGGUCCGUAGGCGGGCUAAUAAGUCAGGGGUGAAAUACCACAGCUCAACUGUGGAACUGCCUUUGAUACUGUUAGUCUUGAAUUAUAUGGAAGUAGAUAGAAUGUGUAGUGUAGCGGUGAAAUGCUUAGAGAUUACACAGAAUACCGAUUGCGAAGGCAGUCUACUAC
This 713-nucleotide ribosomal RNA is filed under the name Lutibacter sp. RNAcentral's name for it is "bacterial SSU rRNA". It matches the Rfam family "Bacterial small subunit ribosomal RNA", at positions 28 to 732 of the family's 1533-position model. The record is from RNAcentral. Lineage: Bacteria; Pseudomonadati; Bacteroidota; Flavobacteriia; Flavobacteriales; Flavobacteriaceae.